AGACCCGAAACCCGGUGAUCUAGCCAUGGGCAGGUUGAAGGUUGGGUAACACUAACUGGAGGACCGAACCGACUAAUGUUGAAAAAUUAGCGGAUGACCUGUGGCUGGGGGUGAAAGGCCAAUCAAACCGGGAGAUAGCUGGUUCUCCCCGAAAGCUAUUUAGGUAGCGCCUCGUGAAUUCAUCUCCGGGGGUAGAGCACUGUUUCGGCUAGGGGGCCAUCCCGGCUUACCAACCCGAUGCAAACUGCGAAUACCGGAGAAUGUUAUCACGGGAGACACACGGCGGGUGCUAACGUCCGUCGUGAAGAGGGAAACAACCCAGACCGCCAGCUAAGGUCCCAAAGUCAUGGUUAAGUGGGAAACGAUGUGGGAAGGCCCAGACAGCCAGGAUGUUGGCUUAGAAGCAGCCAUCAUUUAAAGAAAGCGUAAUAGCUCACUGGUCGAGUCGGCCUGCGCGGAAGAUGUAACGGGGCUAAACCAUGCACCGAAGCUGCGGCAGCGAACGUAUCACCCAAGACAACUUUACGGAGUUGACGAUUGACGGAGCGAAGCGACGUCAAAGCGUUCAUUAAAGUCGAGUUGGCUUAGGGAUACGUUCGUUGGGUAGGGGAGCGUUCUGUAAGCCUGUGAAGGUGUGUCGUGAGGCAUGCUGGAGGUAUCAGAAGUGCGAAUGCUGACAUAAGUAACGAUAAAGCGGGUGAAAAGCCCGCUCGCCGGAAGACCAAGGGUUCCUGUCCAACGUUAAUCGGGGCAGGGUGAGUCGACCCCUAAGGCGAGGCCGAAAGGCGUAGUCGAUGGGAAACGGGUUAAUAUUCCCGUACUUGGUGUUACUGCGAAGGGGGGACGGAGAAGGCUAUGUUGGCCGGGCGACGGUUGUCCCGGUUUAAGCGUGUAGGUGUGUGUUCCAGGUAAAUCCGGUUCACUUUAACACUGAGGCGUGACGACGAGGCACUACGGUGCUGAAGCAACAAAUGCCCUGCUUCCAGGAAAAGCCUCUAAGCAUCAGGUAACAUCAAAUCGUACCCCAAACCGACACAGGUGGUCAGGUAGAGAAUACCAAGGCGCUUGAGAGAACUCGGGUGAAGGAACUAGGCAAAAUGGUGCCGUAACU
This 1111-nucleotide ribosomal RNA is filed under the name Salmonella enterica. Its description in RNAcentral is "partial 23S ribosomal RNA". It matches the Rfam family "Bacterial large subunit ribosomal RNA", at positions 711 to 1735 of the family's 2925-position model. RNAcentral also lists the same sequence under 2 other names. Lineage: Bacteria; Pseudomonadati; Pseudomonadota; Gammaproteobacteria; Enterobacterales; Enterobacteriaceae. The record is from RNAcentral.